This is an RNA transcript of Pomacea canaliculata, 7139 nucleotides long. RefSeq lists it as uncharacterized. Lineage: Eukaryota; Metazoa; Mollusca; Gastropoda; Architaenioglossa; Ampullariidae. The record is from RefSeq and is a predicted model, not a curated record. The transcript has 11 exons.
UAUGUUUGUGUGUGUUUUCAUAGAUGACGCGAUGUGCGUUGAUAUUUAUAAAUAGACAUGUUUAUUAAUGGGCUAUUUAAGUGUUCGUUAUUUGACAAGUAUGCGGAUGAAUUUGUAUAUCUUUAUUAUCUGUGGAGUGUUGAGCAUGUUUUAGUGGAUCUAGUGUCAUUUGAAGAUAGUAAUUUUGGACCUACCUAAUUUCUGAUGUUUUCUUUGCAGAGGGGCUUAAGCCCAAAUGAGUAGAUCGCCAUACACUUCGACUGAGAUAUAGUUUUUACAGCUCGACUGAAGAACUCGAGGAAAUCAUUCAUUGUAAAAGUAUUGCUCAAGUACCUUCUUGAUAUCAAAUUCAUCUUCAGCAAAUAUGAAACCUGUCCUUUAUUUGAUUCUGCUGUCACAACUUGUCCCAAAAGGCACGACAGAAGCAGGAUGUUCAGCAGAUGGUGAGACGCUGUUUUGCAAAUUUUCACAAGACCUCAACUCAACACAAAGUGAUUUUGUAGUCAGCUUUUAUCCAGACGAUGGCGGUGAAGGUUAACUGAUUUUUAAAUGAUUGUAUAAUUCAUGUGUUCAUGUAUAACAGUUUUUGUAAAUUUUUGUAGUCAUUAUUGUUUCAAGUUGUAUUCACUUAACGUUGAUUUCUGUUUUCUCUUUUAAUUUUUAGCUAUUUGGAACGUCAAAUCUUUACCAAUAGCAAAUAAUAACAACAUAAUGAAAUUAUUUUUUUUCCUGUAUGUAUAUUAUUGUUAGUAGUGACAGUUCUUAAAGAGAUAUGAGGAAAACGUUACCUUUGACGGAAAGAAUUCCACAUAUGCUGUGUUUAUAGUGAUAAAAAUUUAAGGAACAGAUGUACCUACAAAUCAAACUAAUGAGUCUUCCUCUUUGGUGGAAUUUUUUUCUUUUUGAUGAUUUAUAUAUUUUUACUUUGAUUUUUUAUUUCAUUUUGAAAUCUAGUGUUUAUAACUUUAAGCACUUACAGUUCAAAUUACUAAUUUUUGCUAUUGGUCUCUUUUUUCAAAAGCAGGAUUUUUUUUCAGGUUAUUGUUAAUGAAUUGGUGUAAGUGCACAUCUACCUCGUUAUCUGGUUUAUGCCAUGAUUAAUCCAAAAAUUUGAGCAUAAAUGAAGGGACAUAUAUAGAUAUACACAUUAUUUUAUUAUUAAGAAUAGAUUUGCAUAAAGCAAGUGUUAGAUGGUUAAACGUUUUUACAUCAAAUUGUUUCGGUCUCAUGAAAUAGGAAAUUUAAAAUCUUCUCUCACAUAACUUUUAUCAAGAAUUUUGCUUUAAAGAAGAGUAAUCUAUUUAGUUAAAUAAUCUUUCUUGUUUAUUUAGGAAAAAGUCAUGUCAACUUAUGUCAGGCUGUUGUAUUAUCUAUUUCUUGGGUAUUCAGGUUUUUUGUUAAACUCUUAACGACAUGAACUGUUCCAGCUUGCUUUCUUUCAAAGUUAUGAUUAUCAGAAACUACAAAUGACCCGUGAGUGUUACAGAAGUUUGUAAACACUAUUGAUCAGAUUUGGGUUUUAUCUGUACUCUCUACAGUCUACAUAAUGAAUUCUAAAAUAUUAAAACUGCUUUAUUAGUCAAUUCUAAUGCAAAUUUAAUGUAACUGAUUAGGUCACGUCCUUGGCGAAAAAAGAUUAAAAAAUGUUUGUGCUCUAGAUUUUCUGUGGAAAUGAACGGAGUCGUUUGUUUUAACGAACAUAUCUUGGAAGUGCUUAAACAUCAGCUUAUUCUUCUACAUUUUCUGUAAGGAGCCACUGCUGGACUGUGCAUGGAUCAAGUCAGAUAUUCAUUGUAUCAAUCAGAAGGGAGUAGCUCCCCAAACACCGGUGUCAAACACCGUUGCCAUCACAAUACCCACGACUUUUCUAAACGGAAAUGGAAGUUACAAGUGUGUACCUGAAGGUUUUACACACAACAGCAUUAAUGAGUGUCGAUUUCGAGGUCAAAAUCAUGUCAAAGGGAGAAUGGAAAGCCUGAACAAUGAAGAAAACAAUUUUAAUGGAUCACCCUUGACUGACUCUGCAGUGCUUGUGUGGCAUCUCUCUUUUGUAAUGGCUUCGGUGUCUUCAGCGACUUCUGCAUUUCUUUUGUGAAGAAAGAUAAACAGUAACAGAUGUUUUGGUUAACAGCAGAAUCCAUGUAUUGCAAACUGCUUCGUGAGAAAGUAGGAGUCGGCUUUGAAGAAAGUUUCGCAAGGCAUCGGUAAUGUUAAGUUGUCACAUCCGCAAAAUUCACGAGAGUCAGAAAUGUUUAAAUUUUUUUUCCAAGUGUGCCACUCAUAAGGAUAUUACUCUACGAAAGUCCAACUUUUAGAACCUAAGCGAUUCUAACUUUAUGGACUUAAAUGUAUAUAUGUGAAAUAAUAUUUGUCGAGUUAAGCCGAUUUUUUUACCACUGACAUAGAAAGUGGAAAAAUAUGCAAAAGAUAACUAUGUAAAUUAAAAAGAAAAUAAAUAAUAGGUCUACUUUUCUUAAAACUCAGAGAACGGCUUAGACACACACAAGUUAGCCUACCUAUGGAAAGAUUUGAAUUCACGCCCUCAUUCAAAUUUGCAUAAAAUGUCUUGCAUUUAUUUAUUAGUCUAUUAUUCAUUAGAAAACAACCAAUGUUCAAAAUUAUUAUUUAUUUAUCUUUUUAACUUUUCAUUACAGAUUUUUUUUCUUUUUGUUUAGUAUGCAUUUUGUUUUUGAACAAUAAAGUUUAAAAAGCGAUAAGCUGUUUAAUUUUUUCUGAGAUGUGUUUGUUAAGUACCGAUGUUGCAUUUAUUUACAAAAAUAGCUUGUCUAGACCGAGAUAUGCAUGUGUAAGUGUUUACUUGGUAAUGAAUUUGUAUUUUGUCUUGUAUGACAAAACCGUGUUACCCGCUGUUUGCGAGAUGGACUAAGUACAUCUGCCGAAGAGAUUCGCUAAUUUCAAGGCUAACUUUCUAAACUAUUUCCUUUUAAACUGGUAGCAGUGUAUUUCUCUACAGCAUAGACUUUUUCAAUUAUUUUUUUUCGAAAUGCAUAAAAUGCAUAUCUUCAUAUUUAUUUUAACUUUCUACUUCUUGCACACACAUAGCUAUUCACUGUCAGUUAUUUGUUAUUAAUAUAUUGAGUCUAGCGAUUGUUGUUGUAAAGCUACAGAGGGACAAUAAAUAGUUGAAACCUUUUUUCCAAAGGUUUUUGCGAGAGGAAAUGCUUUACGAUAGGAAAAGUUCACUGGCGUCGCUAUAUGGGGCACGUGAGAAAUCAUCCGACGCUGUGACUAGAAGAUAUGUGUAGUAAUCAAGAGGAAAAGGAAAGACAGUGAUUUUCCUGUUUGUUUGGUUUUUUUUAGAGUAGUCUUCCUUCGAGGAAUUUUUUGUUCCCUUUAAAUAGCCUUACACUACCAACAGUGAAAUGUCAACAGGAAAAUUUGAAUUUGUACUUCUAUUAUUUAAAUCAUGCGCUCACUAUUUUUGAGUCCUAUUUUCCACCCAGAUGUAAAUGUAAACGUCGCUGCCAGCCAUUAGAAUUUUCCAGAAAAACUCGAUAUCUUACGACUUAUAACGGGAGCAAAGAAAAAGAAUCUUAAUACCAUAUAGUUGUUGUCACUAUCUCGUAACUAAACAAAUAUUUAACGAUCUUUGGAAUGGUAAUACAUAUGAAACCUUGGUCAAGGUCAAAGACUCACCAGUCAAACAGACAGGAAAUAAUAAAAUAUCCGAUAUCAAAUUUGAUCCCUGAACACCUUGCAAACGCAGCUGUUGCUCAUCAAGUCGACAAGAAAAAAUGCUGCUGGGGAACAGGCGUGAUUUUGAGUGGGAAAACCCUCGACAUGUCAAGUAAAAUUCUUCCUUUGUUACUGAAAGCUUCAGAAAAUCCUUUAAAGAAAAAGAUAAUGCAUUGCUCUUAGCUCCUCAAGCCUUCAUUAAUAUAAAUUAUUUAAAUAAUUAAUAAAAACUUACGCUUGGUUUAUGCAAAUAACUUGUUUGUUAGUGCAAAUUUUAUUAGUUUCUUAUUAGAAUGUUAUCGAUUUUUAUAUGCUGUGUGUGAUCACGUAAAAUAAGUAGGGUAUGGAACUUUUAUGCUUGUAAUGUAUUAUAUGUAUUAUAAUCACGAACACAAGCACAUAAAUAAUAUAAGUACUCAAAAUCAACAGUACAUAUGCUAAAAGCAUACACGCAACUUUCACGUAUCGUACAUUUGUUGUGAUCAUGUCAGGUCCAAAGGGGAAGGAAGGCCAGUCCCAUCUCGAUGGCCAGUUUUACUAUUUGCGGGUUGUUUUAUUUUACACUAUCUUUAAAUCAGUUUUCUGUUUUAGGGUAAGUGUCUUUAUCCUGUUUUUCCCUGUUUCCUUUGUUUGAUUAGCCGUCACCUGCCUCUGGCUGAGCAAGUGACUGAUGCUUGCAGGGAACCCUUGACAGUGGAAGUGUUUCUUGACCUCUGUUGACACCGUACAAGUUUGGUGUGUAGUGGGGGCUUAUCGGUGUUAAAGUUCUGAGAAGGGGAAAGCUACGUGAUUCAUGUCCUGUUCGGCCAGCUCAAGAACAUGGGAAAAGUCAUUUUCCUUGUUCUCGGUUUUCGAGAACGAAAACAAAGAGGUCAACAGUCAUACAAAUGAACUCGAGCGACUCAUGUUAACUUCAGUGAGGCAGGCCGUAGAGCAUGUGCAUUAAUUACACAUUUCUAGUAAAAGGAGCUGUCCUAUUAGACGCAGCUAGCACUAUCGACAAUUAGACCACAGGUGACAAUAAUGAUUUGUAACAGCUCUUUGUCACUUUGAGCGUUUCGCUGGUGUGUAUAAAGGAAAUAACAGGCUGUGUGGAUCGGCUCUCCUUAAUAUUGCUACGCUUAUAUUUUGUUGUCGAUCGUCGAUUUGGAUAGAAAUUGUGGACCUUCAUGUUUACAUGGGCUUCUGCUGCAUUUUCUUUCUCUUCUGGUUUGCAACAGAACUGUGUAAGCGGCUAAGACAACAAUGACUACGUAAAAUAAAGCCCCUUCCUCUGCUUGUAACCGCGAGUCCCACAGCUGUGCGAUGUGUUGUCGUAACCACAGUAGUGUCUGAGGUUGUAGUUUUGUGCGAAAAUGAAUACAUAAGGGAGAAAACGCCGGAACCUUUAGGAAUUGUUCCACUAUUGAUUGCUUCCCUUUAACACAUGAAUAAAAGUCAUCCGAUCUGGUAUUUCAUUAUGUUUGAAAGUAGGCGAAGGUUUAGGCGACACGCACCAUGUCGAAGUCGGUUGCCAGUUGCUCAAUUCAACAUGGAUUUGUACUCAAAGAACUGAGAAUAAGAAGAAAACAGUAAGUAGUAUUUAAAUUCUAAUGUAUAUUCUAAUAACAUUCAUGCUUGUUUGGUAUUUUAUGUGUGUAGAUAUUAUAUAUUUUUUUUAUUAAUAUCUAAGUUGUGACCUACUUCCUGCGAUCGCGGGAACUCGCUCGAAUGGUUGAUUUAAGUAGAGCGCGAAAGACACGAUAAUCGACAAGAACUAAAGCCGUCUGGGUCUGCCUUAGCACAGGUAGGUAACAGCAACAAAAUUACUAAGCGUUAGUGGACGCAUUCAUUCAUUUGCUUCUUGUAAUUCUUCUGUCCACAAGCUUGAUCAGAUAUGCUUGCAAUAAAUUUAAAAAAAAUUACCAGCAGAUAAAACAAUGUACAUCGGCCUGUUUCUUUGUCUUAGAGUGCAUCCGCGAUUUAUCAAGUCCUCUUCUUUGUGAUACAAACCAAGAUAGGUAGCAUAUCAGCCUACGCUCUGGACAAAGCAGCUAUGUUCUAACAUGUUUGAUUGACUUCUUGCUUGGACGUGCCUUUUUUUCAGGAAAGCCUAAAGAAAUGUUCUUUGUUCAGAGGAAAAAUGUCACUGCAUUAGGUCUUAAACAUUUCGUAAAAUUUUUUUUUUCCAUAUCGACGAGGUUACCAUUGCACGCAUUACAUGCUGAGAGAGUUCUUACAUGGAUUUUAAUUUAUGGUUGCAGGCUUUGGUAAUUGAAGCGACCGAGUUGUAAUUCAUCAUUUUCUAAUAUGAUAUAUGUUUUCAUUUUACUCAUGCUGCCACAGCUAGUCUCAAGCGGUGAGGCAGAAAUUGGUUGCAACGCAACUGUUGAAGGACACUUGAUGUGUACGUUUCCAGAAAAUGUUAACAUUACAGAAACAGACUUCGGGGUAUACUUUUAUCCUGUUCAUGGUGGUGAAGAACCUCUUUUGGACUGUGGAUGGGUCAAUGCGCAGCUUCACUGCAUCAAACAGGAGGGAGUUGAGAGUAAAAGCCCAGUAAACCACACUGCUGUGAUCAUCAUACCCACAAGGAUUUUGGAGGAAAAUGGAAAGUACAGAUGUGUUAGUGACGGCCACAGGCAUAACACCAUUAAGCCAUGUCAGCUUUCUAGGAAGCAAGUUCGAUUUAAUGCUGCAAGGAUGCUGUCUGAUCUCUCCAAUGUAAUGAAUUGUGUGUACUUGGUGACUAUUUUACUGUUUUGUUAAAGAAAGUUCCUUUACAAAUACCUCACAACACUGAAAUGAAUUGUCCACACAUGCAGUAUAUCAUCUACAUCGAGUGCAUUUUGUGUGAGAGGAUAAAGAGCAGACCUAAGUUUAGAAGCGUCACAUGUUCCAUUUAUAUUAAGGUGACGGAUCAGCGGACUGCUUGAAAUAAUGCAUUUAUGAGACAAGUCUCAAGUCAUCCCGCAUCAAGGAAAUUUUGCACCAAAUUUGACUAAAUAGACAUUAAGAAGUAAAGAUGGGUGCAAAUCAACUAAAGGCAGCAUUUUGAAUAAGCAUUUUAUGAUCUUAACAUUUACACAAUCAAAAAAGCUUUAUAUAUAUAUCACCAUAUAUUCUCCGUCCACUCAUACAUUUUCCGUACAGAAUUGUCUUUGUGCAAAAAGCAAAUGAUUUUAUGAAACAAGAAGAGAAUGAGAAAAAAAUCAUUGAACGAAAUAUAAAAAGAAAAACUGUAAGGAAGCAAACAAAGAAGACGAAAGAGGGCCCUUGAUAGUCACUUACAUUUAAUGGUCAUUGUAAAAUUUCCACAAAAUGUAACACUCAUCCAAUUCAUUAAUGCAUAACAGUAUUUGUUCAACCGAUAUAUUUUUUAUAAUUUUUAAAACACAAGUAAGAAAAAUUUACAAACUAAAGCAUAAGCCUUUCUCAUUUUUGCAAUAAAACACGAAAGGCAA